GGCGGGGUAGCUCAGUUGGCUAGAGCGUGCGGUUCAUACCCGCGAGGUUCUGAGUUCGAAUCUCAGCCCCGCUA
This 74-nucleotide transfer RNA is filed under the name bacterium. RNAcentral's name for it is "tRNA-Met". It matches the Rfam family "tRNA". From Rfam's summary of the family: Transfer RNA (tRNA) molecules are approximately 80 nucleotides in length. Their secondary structure includes four short double-helical elements and three loops (D, anti-codon, and T loops). The record is from RNAcentral. RNAcentral also lists the same sequence under 1 other name.